UGGGGAAUAUUGCACAAUGGGGGAAACCCUGAUGCAGCGACGCCGCGUGAGCGAUGAAGUAUUUCGGUAUGUAAAGCUCUAUCAGCAGGGAAGAUAAUGACGGUACCUGACUAAGAAGCUCCGGCUAAAUACGUGCCAGCAGCCGCGGUAAUACGUAUGGAGCAAGCGUUAUCCGGAUUUACUGGGUGUAAAGGGAGCGUAGGCGGUCCUGCAAGUCUGAUGUGAAAACCCGGGGCUCAACCCCGGGACUGCAUUGGAAACUGUAGGACUAGAGUGUCGGAGGGGUAAGUGGAAUUCCUAGUGUAGCGGUGAAAUGCGUAGAUAUGAGGAGGAACACCAGUGGCGAAGGCGGCUUACUGGACGACCACUGACGCUGAGGCUCGAAAGCGUGGGGAGAAAACAGG
Molecule: ribosomal RNA, 404 nt
Filed under: Acidobacteriota bacterium
Lineage: Bacteria; Pseudomonadati; Acidobacteriota
Description: Acidobacteria bacterium partial 16S ribosomal RNA
Rfam family: Bacterial small subunit ribosomal RNA
Source: RNAcentral